AGAGUUUGAUUCUGGCUCAGGAUGAACGCUGGCGGCGCGCUUAACACAUGCAAGUCGAACGGUUAAAGCACCUCCGGGUGUGCAUAAAGUGGCGAACGGCUGAGUAACACGUGGGCAACCUGCCCCCCGCACCGGGAUAGCCUCGGGAAACCGUGGGUAAUACCGGAUACUCCGCCACCCCCGCAUGGGGGAGGCGGGAAAGCGUACACGGCGGGGGAUGGGCCCGCGGCCUGUUAGCUCGUUGGCGGGGUAACGGCCCACCAAGGCGAUUAUGGGUAGCCGGGUUGAGAGACCGACCGGCCAGAUUGGGACUGAGACACGGCCCAGACUCCUACGGGAGGCAGCAGUGGGGAAUCUUGCACAAUGGGCGAAAGCCUGAUGCAAGCGACGCCGCGUGCGGGAUGAAGGCCCUCGGGUUGUAAACCGCUUUCAGCAGGGACGAGGCGCAAGUGACGGUACCUGCAGAAGAAGCCCCGGCUAACUACGUGCCAGCAGCCGC
Molecule: ribosomal RNA, 499 nt
Filed under: uncultured bacterium
Lineage: Bacteria
Description: bacterial SSU rRNA
Rfam family: Bacterial small subunit ribosomal RNA
Source: RNAcentral